UUUCUAGCCAUCAAGCCCUUUUUCAAGCGAGCGUCUUGGCCAUGGCUACGUUUCUGCUCCUGAGUGGCUACCAGUGCUCUAAUGAACACAAAUACCUUCCAGCCCUCUGAUCCCAGCCGGCGCGGGAGCCUCCUGAACACUAAUUGUUUCCCAGCGCGCUCCUCCUGGAUGCUGAACACAGCCUGCAAUGAACUUACCAGCUUGUUUGGCACCAUCCACAUGAAGCAAGUGCUCUGCCAGUUAUACUUGUGUGCCUCCUGUGCCAGCAGGUCCUUCUUCAGAAGCAGCGAAUGUGGCAUGUGGGCAGUGCCACUCAGAUGGGAACACAGGUGUGGUCCCUUCAGGGCCACCUGCAGGGCGGUUCCAGUCUCCCUGGCUAGUUCCAUCUUGGCACAAAAGGUUCACUGCCAACCAUUUCUGCUGGGAAGAAAGCUUCAGGUGAUAAAUAUUGCAAGAUCCAGAAAACCCAGGAGCUCUGUCCUGAUUUCUUUCCCUUGGCAGCAAAAGGAUGGGAGAAGAAUAGAAAGAUAAUUACUUUGGAGUUUUCAGAAAUAAAAUGGAAAAGAAAUAAUGCCUUGCAAUAACUGAAGCUGGAGUCAGUUUUCCCACAUCUGUAGAGCCUGGAGCUGUUAUUUUUUAUGACUGCUUUUCAUAUUACAUUAGUGCCAAGCGAGCCGGGGAACCUGAUUCUACUGGGUGCUGCACGGAGGCAGCUGCAGC
Molecule: long non-coding RNA, 720 nt
Organism: Nothoprocta perdicaria
Lineage: Eukaryota; Metazoa; Chordata; Aves; Tinamiformes; Tinamidae
Exons: 3
Source: RefSeq, a predicted model, not a curated record